RNAcentral lists this ribosomal RNA (309 nucleotides) under uncultured bacterium. RNAcentral describes it as "bacterial SSU rRNA". It matches the Rfam family "Bacterial small subunit ribosomal RNA", at positions 28 to 334 of the family's 1533-position model. The record is from RNAcentral.
GAUGAACGCUAGCGGCAGGCUUAACACAUGCAAGUCGAGGGGCAGCAUUACUGCUUGCAGUAGAUGGCGACCGGCGCACGGGUGCGUAACGCGUAUACAACUUACCCUUUACAGGGGGAUAGCCCGAGGAAACUCGGAUUAAUACCCCAUAACAUUAUGAUAUCGCAUGGUAUUAUAAUUAAAACUUCGGUGGUAAAGGAUGGGUAUGCGUAAGAUUAGAUAGUUGGUGAGGUAACGGCUCACCAAGUCUACGAUCUUUAGGGGGCCUGAGAGGGUGAACCCCCACACUGGUACUGAGACACGGACCAG